UCACUGCACGGCGGCCGCGCUGGGUCACACUCCGCAGGAGGACUGAACGCGAAGCGGAAAAUGUCCGCCGUCACCAUAGAAACCAAUAUGGUCUCCUCCCCGUGACUGUGAAUAAUAUCUGGAAUAAUCACUGCAACCACAAUGUGAACCAGCGGAUUAGACCGACAACUGGCAGUAAAGGCAGAAGGGGGCGGUAUAGACAAGGAUUCAUGAAGUCAGAGGAAUCACAAGAGACGAGCAGGAUCGGGAACGCAGCUCUGGGUGUAAUUAGAGAACAAAGAAGACCAGAAAUAUAGUCUUCUCCUAAAAAGGUAAUGACUUCCUGCUGGGCUUGUGCUUAUACACAGCAGCCAACCUUAUAAAGCAGAGCUGCAGGGAAAAGUACAGAGAAGAGAAAGAUCGUCAGCCUGAACCUCUGAUUUUUGCCCCGUAUGCGGUUUUCCCACCGGAGCUAAAACUGUGGUAGACCAAAGGAGCAGAGCCGCAGUGUAAAGCAUAAGGGAAAGACACAUCAGUAGCCUGAGCCUUUGAUGAGACAGCAGGUGGAUAAAAGAUUAAAGGGGUACUCCAGCCCUGAGACAUCUAAUCCCCUAUCCAAAGGAUACGGGAUAAAAUGUCUCACCACGGGGGUCCCGCUGCUUGUAUUCGCCACCCACCUGUUUGAGCUGCACGCGGCGGUGCCAGCUCACAAACAGCCGGAUGGCAACCACGGGGCCGGAGUAUCGUGACGUCACCCCCCGCCCGCGCUAUGCAAGUCUAUGGGAGGGGGCGUGAAGGCCAUUUUAAUCCUUCCAGUAUUUUAUAGGGGCUGUAUACCACAGA
This is a long non-coding RNA of Hyla sarda, 822 nucleotides long. RefSeq lists it as uncharacterized. The transcript is spliced from 3 exons. Lineage: Eukaryota; Metazoa; Chordata; Amphibia; Anura; Hylidae. The record is from RefSeq and is a predicted model, not a curated record.